GAAACAAAGGAUUCUGUACGCCACUCUCUGGCACCUUACAAAUCUUUCAUAUCCUUCAAAUUGUCAUUUUUCGCUGUAUCCAUGUCAUUUGACAGUAUCAUCUCACAUCAGAUUUGUUUCACCACUUGUCUUGGUUUGAACUAACAAUCUUUGUAUCCAAAUCCUAAAUGGACCUUUUGUUUAGUUUCUCAGGCAGAGGUUAGCUUUCUAGGAAAUCUGAAACAUCCGAACCUGUUCAGACUAAUUGGUUAUUAUUUUGAGGAUAACCAAACGCAGUUAGUAUAUGAAUUUAUGCCCCAUGGAAAUCUAGAGCACCAUCUCUUCAGGAAUAACCGUUUGGCAUCUGCUACAGCUUCGUUUUAAGCAUAUUUGUGAGCUUUCUAAGUAGAUGAGUUAUUUGAUUUUUUGUCUAUUUCAAAAGUCAAUGUGUUCCGGAAGAACUUAUAUUAUAAAUGGCUGCAUUGUGUGAAGUGCCAUGUAAUUUAUUUUUAGAUAUUUGUUGCUUUAUAAAAUUGGUAUCUAUUGACCUGGAGAGCAGUGCUCUAUGGUGGAUCUUAGAUUCAGAUUCGUUGUUUUACUGGUGAAGUUGUCCCAAAUAGCCCCAAAUUAUGGACCGAGACAUUUUUAAACCAAAUACCAAGGUUAAUAAUAGAGCUCAUGAUAGUUCAGCAUAUAUAUAUUUUCUGCAUCAUUCCAUACCUAUUAUAUUUGACUAUUCAUCUCGUUUGUUUCUUAAGAUAUAUAUGUUUUCUGCAUCAUUUUAUAUUUUUUUGUUUAACUACUAUUCAUCCCCUUUCUUUAACUCUGCGGUAAUAGUUGCAACCUCAGUACGACCAACUUUUAGUUAAGAAAAAUUGUGCUGGUGUUCAGUUCUAACAUGAAAUUGUUUAUUGUUCUCUGUAAUCUAACAUUUCUUUUUUUAUAUAUUUGAACAGGGAUUAUGUGCCAGUUUCAGUUUUUGGUAACAGUCUAUAGGACUUUUACACAUUCAAAGGUGAGAAUCAUUUAGGUUCAGCUCCCUUUAAAAAAAGUAAUGUAAACAACACCUUUUUGUAAACAGCAUCGUAGAAGAACCACGCUCCUGCCUACACACCAGUUUGUUGUUUCUCUUUCACCCCGCGAGCGCGAGUACUAGGGCAACCACAGCACUAUCCCUGCUGCCCAUGUCUUCGUUGGGGCCUUUGCUGGUGACCAAAACCCACCACAGCACUAUCCCUGCUGCCCAUGUUUUCGUGACAGGUUCAGUCUUUAUCUUCUCCUUUAUCUUUGCACAUGCAUAUUUCAAAAUUAACAUUCGAAAUUUUUAAAAAAGUUUGAAGUGGCUAAGUAUAUGUGAGCCUAUUUUGUUUCGAUCAGCUUGGCCAUGAUUAGUGACCCUAGAACACCGUACCAAUGACAGUCAUGUUUGUACGAAAGUAUCUUUGUUUACCUGAUGCAAAACCUAAGACACCGUCAUUACUUUUAUGGAUAAACGCCUUUCCUUGUUUGUGACCAUUGUAUUGUGGAUUUCUGUGGUAGAUUACUGAAAGGAAUAAUUAUUUAUAGUAAAAUACAUAUGUGGAUGUCAAUUCUCAAACACUGUUGUGUUCAUAGAGACAUAUUAAAAUCAACCUAGAUUGUUUGACGUUUGAACAAUAUAACAUGGAAAUGUGGGUACAUGAGGAUUGGUAAGCUUGUGAAACUCAUAAUUAUGAUAGGGUAGGUUUAUUUGCAUGAAAUGUGGUGAACAAUGAUAGCCUCAUUGUUGCAGCCUCUGUUCUCAGUGACAUUAUAUGAGUAGCCUAUGGCAGUUGGCAAUAGUUUGUUUCAUGCUACAGCACAAUACCAUCCUUACCCUUACCCAGUACUGGCUAGAUGGUGAAACUAAAAGUGUAUGUAUUACUAGAAUGGAGGUACAGGUACAUAAACAUUAAUAGGCUGAUCUAGCACAAGUACCUUUUGAUUAUCCAUUCAGGAUACCUUCGUAUUUUGCUUUGAUUAUUAGAGCUAUUGGAGUAUUAGAAGGGAUAGCUUUGGUGGGAGAUCCUGAACUUGCCAUUGUUGAUGAAGCAUACCCAUAUAUAUUGCACAGGUCCGCAUCCAGCCUUUAAUUUAAACUUCAUACACUCCCCAUACAUUUCUACUCUCUGAGAGGGGGGACUUCUUUCAGGAAUUCAUUCUUUGCACAGGUCCGCAACCGCUGGAGGUCAUAGCGCAAGAUGUCAAGGCCAAGAAGCGCAACCAGGCGCUAUGAGUCCAGGUUGUUGGUCACUGGAUCUACGAUACAGAGAAUGGCAAAACCUACCAUCAGAUUACAACGUCAAUAACAAGCCCAGUGAAUGCUGAAAGAUGCGCUUUCAUAGAAGAAACUAAGCUCUCAAGAUGGUGGCAGAAUUAACUCCUUUCCUGUUAUGUUUAGGUUUCAAGGACAGCCUCUGUAUAAGCUCAGACCAAGCAAAUUCCGUGAAGCAAUUGAGGAGGCUUUCCUUGCUGAACGUGGUUUUUUUGAUCUCCAAACGGAUGGGGUAUGCUCAGCGCGAAAGUCUGUAAAUAAGCAGUCUGAUCCUAUUGGUUUUCAGGAAGAGGCUGCUUCAAAUAACGAGCAAGAAUGCCAAUCUGAGUCUCAGGUUGUUGGCAAAGGGAAAGACCAUUCCUUGCUUAACCCAUCCAUAGUCCCUGCCAUGCCCGUUAGCAGGAAUUUGAUUGUAUGUUCACCGCGAAAUUUUUGAUUGUAUGUUGACUGGCAGGAUUUUGUUCUGUAUAGACUUCUAUUAAUUAAGGCAAUUCAUUUUGGAUGCAUUUAAUGUGCUUAUCUCUAUUGUCAGGUGGUUGUAGGACUGUGGAUCCUUUCUAUCCAUGGGAGCUGCUGCAAUUUUCUCACCUUGUCUUACAUAGGUAAUUGUUGUUCGUUGUUAACGUUCUUUGAUGUGUUAUGAAGUGUUAUCCAGUUAUGGCUUUAUUUAUGCAGUUUUUGUGGUAUUGUACACUGCCGGUCCUGUACGAGGUCAC
Molecule: long non-coding RNA, 2988 nt
Organism: Zea mays
Lineage: Eukaryota; Viridiplantae; Streptophyta; Magnoliopsida; Poales; Poaceae
Exons: 3
Source: RefSeq, a predicted model, not a curated record